This 203-nucleotide long non-coding RNA is filed under the name Elaeis guineensis (African oil palm). Its description in RNAcentral is "long non-coding RNA (EGUI_LNC010224)". The record is from RNAcentral. Lineage: Eukaryota; Viridiplantae; Streptophyta; Magnoliopsida; Arecales; Arecaceae.
AUUCAGGCUAAACCAUUAUCCAUCGAUUCAUGAAGUGUCUUAAGAUCUUUAAUUCUCAAAUCUAUACCCUUUUAAAAACUUAAUUCCAAAUUAAGUAUAUGAAACAUAUAUUUCUGUUUGUAGAACUAUUCUACUAAAACUUCAAGUGAAGCAUACCAUAUAUUUCAAAUCAAAAUCUAAUUUUCAAAUCUAUGUUUAACAAU